GGGAGGGUGGUGGCGGCGCCGCGCAGCCCGCACCGGGAGCGGGGACGGGAACCGGGAGCCGGCCCCUGUGCGCGUGUUCAGGAGUAAGUGACUCUCCUGCAAGCUCGGUGAAAGCCCGCGGUAGCUACCCGGCGGGGUCAGCCCACAGCACCCGGAGCGGAGGAGGCGUGGGGACCCUCAGCUGCCCGCGGGCUCGGGGCAGCCCCCGUACGAAGUGGCAGAUGCGGCCUCAGCGAUUACUGCGAGAAGGAUAAAAAAAUAAAUCCUUGCCAAGGACUGUGGGAGGACGAACAAGUCACAGGGUAAAAGCUAUGAAGGGCUUUUCCAUGCAGUGAAUUGUGAGGGAAUGACGGAAACAAUGGGGGUUUCAGCUGACGGAGCCCGUCCCGGGACCGAGCCCCGUCUGGCCAGCCAGGGCCGCGCUCCCUGAGCCCACGGGAACGGGGACUCCACCGCCUCCCCGGGCAGCCCAUCCCGUGUCUAAUCACCUUUUCUGUGAAGAAAUUCUUCCUGAUUUCCAACCUAAGCCUCCCUUGGUGCAGAUUAACACAAUGUCCUCUCCUCCUGUCCCUAAUACGCCCUGGGGGCGUUUUGCAGGUACCAAGCCCUGCACCCACAGGGACAUGACCAGGCACGCAGAGGGCAAGGUACCCAGGGGCACGAAACUCAGAGCAAGCACUCUGCACCUAGACCUGCAAAACCUCUAGCCACUUCAGACAACACUGGCAACUGAGAAAAAAAAAAAAAUCACAUUCGUUUUCCAUCAGGCAAGUGGACCCACUGCCAGUUUCAUGUCUGACCCAAUUGACAGACUGAAUUCUGGCCACCAAAAGCAGAAAGAGCUUUUUCUGGUUAUGCUGUGUCCUUUAUGAAAAAAGAAGAUAGAGUGACUAUCAGAAUUUAAGAUGUAGAGGAAUAAUGAUGUUUUAACUAUUAUGAAG
Long non-coding RNA from Pyrgilauda ruficollis (rufous-necked snowfinch), 941 nucleotides. RefSeq lists it as uncharacterized. The transcript is spliced from 3 exons. The record is from RefSeq and is a predicted model, not a curated record. Lineage: Eukaryota; Metazoa; Chordata; Aves; Passeriformes; Passeridae.